This is a non-coding RNA of Ictidomys tridecemlineatus (thirteen-lined ground squirrel), 87 nucleotides long. The record is from Rfam. Lineage: Eukaryota; Metazoa; Chordata; Mammalia; Rodentia; Sciuridae.
AUCCAGUCCUGGUGCCCUCAGUACAGCUGGUUCCCUUGACACAGGACCUGCCCUGUUUACAUCUCUGUACCCCGCCAUGGACCCCAG